AUGGGUAAGACACGUGGUAUGGGAGCUGGGCGCAAGCUCAAGACCCACCGCAGGAACCAGAGGUGGGCUGACAAGGCAUACAAGAAGAGCCACUUGGGUAACGAGUGGAAGAAACCCUUCGCCGGGUCAUCUCACGCCAAGGGCAUUGUUUUGGAGAAGAUCGGUAUUGAGGCCAAGCAGCCUAACUCUGCCAUCCGUAAGUGUGCUCGUGUGCAGCUUGUGAAGAACGGAAAGAAGAUUGCUGCCUUCGUUCCCAAUGAUGGUUGCCUGAACUUCAUCGAGGAGAAUGACGAGGUGCUGAUUGCUGGAUUCGGUCGUAAGGGGCAUGCCGUGGGAGAUAUUCCCGGUGUCCGGUUCAAGGUCGUCAAGGUGUCUGGUGUGUCUCUGCUUGCCCUCUUCAAAGAGAAGAAGGAGAAGCCCAGGUCUUAG
Molecule: ribosomal RNA, 429 nt
Filed under: Triticum aestivum (bread wheat)
Lineage: Eukaryota; Viridiplantae; Streptophyta; Magnoliopsida; Poales; Poaceae
Description: partial small subunit ribosomal RNA
Source: RNAcentral